This 1339-nucleotide ribosomal RNA is filed under the name Candidatus Woesebacteria bacterium RIFOXYB1_FULL_47_31. RNAcentral describes it as "bacterial SSU rRNA". It matches the Rfam family "Bacterial small subunit ribosomal RNA". Lineage: Bacteria; Candidatus Woeseibacteriota. The record is from RNAcentral.
UUUGAGGAUUUGAUCCUGGUCCAGGAUGAACGCUGGCGGCGUGCCUUAGGCAUGCAAGUAAAGCGGGUCCCGAGAGCAAUCGAGGGACAAGCUGCGAACGGCUGAGUAUAAGAUAGGAAUCUACCCUUUGGCGGGGAAUACCCACUCGAAAGAGUGGCUAAUACCGCAUAAGACUUUACAGUGAAAGCGCUUAACUGCGCACCGAAGGAUGAGCCUAUCUCCCAUCAGCUUGUUGGUAGGGUAAUGGCCUACCAAGGCUACGACGGGUAGGGGACGUGAGAGCGUGACCCCCCAGAACGGGACUGAGACACGGCCCGUACACCUACGGGUGGCAGCAACCGGGAAUCGUGCGCAAUGGACGAAAGUCUGACGCCGCGACGCCGCGUGAGGGAUGAAGGCCUUCGGGUUGUAAACCUCUUUUGUUUCGUCGGAGACGACGAGAAGAAUAAGCACCUGCUAACUCUGUGCCAGCAGCCGCGGUAAUACAGAGGGUGCAAGCGUUAUCCGGAUUUAUUGGGCGUAAAGCGUUUCGUAGGCGGUAAGGUAAGUUACACUUCAAAGGCCAGGGCUUAACCUUGGAAAGGGGUGUAAUACUGUCUUACUUGAAAUGUUUCGGGGUUAUCGGAACUCUCGGUGUAGGGGUGAAAUCCGUUGAUAUCGAGAGGAACACCAAGGGCGAAGGCAGAUAACUAGGAACCUUUUGACGCUGAGGAACGACAGCUAGGGGAGCGAAUGGGAUUAGAGACCCCAGUAGUCCUAGCCGUAAACUUUGCUCGCUAGUCCCCUCGGUUUUUCCGAGAGGGCGUAAGCUAACGCGUUAAGCGAGCCGCCUGGGGAGUACGGCCGCAAGGCUAAAACUCAAAGGAAUUGACGGGAACCUGCACAACCAGUGGAGCAUGUGGUUUAAUUCGAGACGAACCGAAGAACCUUACCAGGCUUUGACAUGCUACCGUUUUAACUUUCCAGAAAUGGAGAGCUAUCCGUAAGGAUGGUAGCACAGGUGUUGCAUGGCCGUCGUCAGCUCGUGCCGUGGGGUGUUCCCUUCAGUGGGGUAACGAGCGCAACCCCUGCCAAAUGUUGAAUAUUCAUUUGGGACUGUCCGAUUUUUUAUCAGACGGAAGUGGGGACGACGUCAGGUCAGCAUGGCCCUUAUAGCCUGGGCGACACACAUGCUACAAUGGAGCCGACAAUGGGUUUUGCCAAGCCGUAAGGCGGAGCUAAUCCCAUCAAACGGCUUCUCAGUGGGGAUUGAGGGCUGCAACUCGCCCUCAUGAACGCGGAAUUGGUAGUAAUCGCGGAUCAGCUAUGCCGCGGUGAAUACGUUCUCAGGUUUUGUACA